CGGUGCGAUCAUAUCAGCACUAAUGCACCGGCUCCGGCGAGAGUAGUACGAGGAUGGGUGACCUCCUCGGAAGUCCUCGUGUUGCAUUGU
Vigna angularis (adzuki bean) is the source of this 90-nucleotide non-coding RNA. Lineage: Eukaryota; Viridiplantae; Streptophyta; Magnoliopsida; Fabales; Fabaceae. The record is from Rfam.